GAUUGUGGGAGCUGCUGGCAUCUCAGAUGUCAGCUCUUCUUAAAUGUAUUAGCAAAACCUUUGCUGACCAUCAUUGGUGUGAUAAUUAUCUAUGCCAUUGAGAAUCAGCUCCUUAUGGAGGGUUUAGCUUCUAAUAGUCCUUUUGGACAACAACUUGACAAUUUGACCUCAAAUCAGGUAGGACUACCCGCUGAACUUAA
RNAcentral lists this unclassified non-coding RNA (200 nucleotides) under soil metagenome. RNAcentral's name for it is "partial contains internal transcribed spacer 2 and large subunit ribosomal RNA". The record is from RNAcentral.